CAGUUGUGGGUGAAGUUUAUUAAGGCAAUACUGAAUACCAGAGCAUUUCAACAAGGCUUACCACACAGGCCCCAGUACCUUUCUACUCUACAAUGAGGCUCAGAAGCUCAGUGUACCACCCCAUCCCCAGGAGGCCCACUUAGACCAGAAAUCCCAAGUCCAUUAGCUACAGGCUGAUAUUCAGGGACAUCGGUGUAAACAAAGAAGUGGGAUAUGAACUAUAUCCCUGAUUUUUUUUUCUUUUUUUUUUUUUUUGAGACUAAGUCUCACUCUUGUCCCCCAGGCUGGAGUGCAAUGGCGCGAUCUUGGCUCACUGCAACCUCCGCCUCUCAGGUUCAAGAGAUUCUCUUGCCUCAGCCUCCUAACUGGGAUAACAGACACCUGCUACCAUGCCCGGCUCAUUUUUUUUUGUAUUUUUAGUAGAGACGGGGUUUCACCAUGUUGGCCUGGCUGGUCUCGAACACCUGACCUCAGGUGUUCCGCCCGCCUCAGCCUCCCAAAGUGCUGGGAUUACAGGUGUGAGCCACCGCACCCGGCCUAUAUUCCUGAUAUUUAACAAGGAAAAAAAAUUCUGCAGGGGAGAACUUUCCUGAAAGAUAUUUUUUCUGGACAUCUCUCUCUACUGACUGAUAGGGUGAGGCUCAGAACAGGCUUCUUCCAAGCUCAGAGAGGCUGAGAGAUGGGUCAACUGGGUGAUGCCCGUUUUGAGAGCCUUAGCUUCCCAAGUGGACAGCACAGAAGAGCUGGGAGGAGUGGCUAGAAAAUAAGUUUGAAAUGAGCCCCGGGUUGAGGACUCCAGAGCACAGCUGCAUUAUAGAGACGGGGCCCGCUGAGUCCUCUCCUCUCCCCCUACUUCUUCUCCUCCGGGGCUUUCUCAGUGAUUCCAGGGGCAAAGGGUCCCACGAGCCACGUGACAGGUGUGUUCUGGGCCACAUAUUCCACCAUGUGGUCCAGGGCCUCGCGGGCG
RNAcentral lists this long non-coding RNA (967 nucleotides) under Homo sapiens (human). RNAcentral describes it as "HSALNT0395868". Lineage: Eukaryota; Metazoa; Chordata; Mammalia; Primates; Hominidae. The record is from RNAcentral.